AGGGUUUGAUCAUGGCUCAGGACGAACGCUGGCGGCGUGCUUAACACAUGCAAGUCGAACGGAGCGCCCUUGACUGAGGUUUCGGCCGAAUGAUAGGAAUGCUUAGUGGCGGACUGGUGAGUAACGCGUGAGGAACCUGCCUUCCAGAGGGGGACAACAGUUGGAAACGACUGCUAAUACCGCAUGACACAUUCGGGCGGCAUCGCCUGGAUGUCAAAGAUUUUAUCGCUGGAAGAUGGCCUCGCGUCUGAUUAGAUAGUAGGCGGGGUAACGGCCCACCUAGUCGACGAUCAGUAGCCGGACUGAGAGGUUGACCGGCCACAUUGGGACUGAGAUACGGCCCAG
RNAcentral lists this ribosomal RNA (345 nucleotides) under uncultured bacterium. Its description in RNAcentral is "bacterial SSU rRNA". It matches the Rfam family "Bacterial small subunit ribosomal RNA", at positions 8 to 334 of the family's 1533-position model. The record is from RNAcentral.